This is a long non-coding RNA of Eriocheir sinensis (Chinese mitten crab), 979 nucleotides long. RefSeq lists it as uncharacterized. Lineage: Eukaryota; Metazoa; Arthropoda; Malacostraca; Decapoda; Varunidae. The record is from RefSeq and is a predicted model, not a curated record. The transcript has 3 exons.
AUGUGAGACGGAAUUACAGUCAAACUGGCCAAAGCUAACAGUGUUCUCAUGUGAUGCUCUUGCAUUCGGGCAUAUAAAUAUAGUGUUUUUACAUAUUAAAUGACACUUGCACAUCGUAUGACAGAGACGUAGUUGUAUAGAAAUACAUAUGCAUGCAUGUAUGCAUUAUAAAUGGGCAUAAGCACAUACUGGCAUAGGUUUUUUUUGGUCAAGGUGUUGGCAAUACGAUCGUGGGAGGAGCCAUGCGACCGGAGGGCGGGGCUUGUAUGGAUUCACCUUGGGUUCAGGAAUAUGCGCAGGUUGGCGUUUUUUAUGCCAAAAACGUCUUUUUUGGCAUUUUUUUAUGUGUUUGGCAGAAAAAUCUGCUGGUUGGCAUUUUUUCAGAAAUUGGCAUUUUUCUUGGCGUAUUUUUAUUGAUAAAUCAUUGCUUUAAAAAGACUUAUCGGUAACACGAUUAUUUAUAGAAUGAGAUGGGAACUCUGAUUCAAGGAGCAUUUAAUUCAGCUACCCAAACUUUAGUACCCCUUUAAAAAGUCAAUUUUCUUUCACUCCUGAGGGUGGCUCGCGGGGGCCCGGGUAACUUUGUAAACAUUGGCCAGCUGACGCAGGUACCGGGUGUAGUAGGAGUCGUCUCAUAACAAGAGGUGAGGCUGCCCUAUAAUGAAUGACCGGCUGACGGAGUGACGGUCGGCCUGUCUCACAAGAUGGUGAUUUAUUACAGUAUUGGAAAUUAAUGAUGAUGGACAUGCUUUUGGUAUUCAUUGAAUGUGAUAUUAUUUUGUAUUAUUGAUUUAGUCGCUAUAUGCCACGUUAAAGAGAAAUAAAUAAAGUAAUAUAUUUGAUUGUAUGUGUUAAUAUCUUUUUCCUUUUAUUAAAUUACAAAGAGCAGCUACAUAUGUUUUAAAGGGUGGUGGUUUGUUGAAUUAUUGGAAUUCACUGAUGAUAGGCAUGAAUGAUAUGCAUUUUGACAUUGAUUGUA